AUUGAACGCUGGCGGCAUGCCUUACACAUGCAAGUCGAACGGCAGCACGGGUGCUUGCACCUGGUGGCGAGUGGCGAACGGGUGAGUAAUACAUCGGAACAUGUCCUGUAGUGGGGGAUAGCCCGGCGAAAGCCGGAUUAAUACCGCAUACGAUCUACGGAUGAAAGCGGGGGACCUUCGGGCCUCGCGCUAUAGGGUUGGCCGAUGGCUGAUUAGCUAGUUGGUGGGGUAAAGGCCUACCAAGGCGACGAUCAGUAGCUGGUCUGAGAGGACGACCAGCCACACUGGGACUGAGACACGGCCCAGACUCCUACGGGAGGCAGCAGUGGGGAAUUUUGGACAAUGGGCGAGAGCCUGAUCCAGCAAUGCCGCGUGUGUGAAGAAGGCCUUCGGGUUGUAAAGCACUUUUGUCCGGAAAGAAAUCCUUGGCCCUGAUACGGUCGGGGGAUGACGGUACCGGAAGAAUAAGCACCGGCUAACUACGUG
This 486-nucleotide ribosomal RNA is filed under the name uncultured bacterium. RNAcentral describes it as "partial 16S ribosomal RNA". It matches the Rfam family "Bacterial small subunit ribosomal RNA", at positions 30 to 507 of the family's 1533-position model. The record is from RNAcentral.